UUAUGCACUACGUGAUCAAGAAGUUCCGA
This 29-nucleotide non-coding RNA is filed under the name Mus musculus (house mouse). Lineage: Eukaryota; Metazoa; Chordata; Mammalia; Rodentia; Muridae. The record is from RNAcentral.